UCCACGCUGUAAACGAUGUUCAUUAGGUGUGGGGAGGUUUCAAUACCUUCUGUGCCGUAGCUAACGCGUUAAAUGAACCGCCUGGGGAGUACGACCGCAAGGUUAAAACUCAAAGGAAUUGACGGGGGCCCGCACAAGCAGUGGAUCAUGUGGUUUAAUUCGAUAAUACGCGAAGAACCUUACCAGCUCUUGACAUCCAGAGAAUUUUCUAGAGAUAGAGAAGUGCCUUCGGG
Molecule: ribosomal RNA, 233 nt
Filed under: uncultured bacterium
Lineage: Bacteria
Description: partial 16S ribosomal RNA
Rfam family: Bacterial small subunit ribosomal RNA
Source: RNAcentral